AGCCUCUCCAUUGCACCAAAUGGCAGAUGCAGAAUUUUAAGAUUGGGUGGUCUUAAUAUAAAAGUUCAAAAAAAUAUUAGACGAAAAUAUAAAUUACAAAAACUAAAUUUGUCCAUGAUGAAGUUUCAUACUAAAAAAUGUGUCAUUAUAGAUUUAUUGUAAACUAGAGCGAAAAUAUCCAAAAUAUAAUUGAAAUUAUCUAAAAUUGGAAUUGAACUACUUAGUUUGUGAAGACGGGGGAGGAGAUUGGGGUUGUGCCGGUGGGUGGGGAGGUGAUUGGAUAAUGGGAUUAGCCAAUUAGGAGUUAGAAAUGGAAUUGGAAAAGUUCUAACUCUGUUUGAAAGUUGAACCAUUUUGUUUAAUAAAAAAUUGCAAAAACUAUAUAUUAAAGAACGUUGUAUCGACGCACCAUUUUACUUAGAAGGUUUUUUCAAAUCAUACAUCAAACGCACCGUUUUCCUAAGUCAUUUGAAUAAAAAGCCGUGUUCUUUCUUUUUUCUGGUUUGUAGAAUACCAGAACACUCUGUAGCUCCACUCCUAUUCUCCUCCACCGUUUGCCC
This 560-nucleotide long non-coding RNA is filed under the name Malus domestica (apple). RNAcentral describes it as "long non-coding RNA (MDOM_LNC013696)". The record is from RNAcentral. Lineage: Eukaryota; Viridiplantae; Streptophyta; Magnoliopsida; Rosales; Rosaceae.